Molecule: ribosomal RNA, 494 nt
Filed under: uncultured bacterium
Lineage: Bacteria
Description: partial 16S ribosomal RNA
Rfam family: Bacterial small subunit ribosomal RNA
Source: RNAcentral
GACGAACGCUGGCGGCGUGCUUAACACAUGCAAGUCGAACGGUGAAGCGCCUUCCUUUUUGGUGGGUGUGGAUGAGUGGCGAACGGGUGAGUAACACGUGAGUAACCUGCCCCCUUCUUCUGGAUAACCGCAUGAAAGUGUGGCUAAUACGGGAUAUUCUGGGUCUGUCGCAUGAUGGGUCUGGGAAAGAUAUUGUUUCGGUGGGGGAUGGGCUCGCGGCCUAUCAGCUUGUUGGUGGGGUGAUGGCCUACCAAGGCGGUGACGGGUAGCCGGCCUGAGAGGGUGGACGGUCACACUGGGACUGAGACACGACCCAGACUCCGACGGGAGGCAGCAGUGGGGAAUAGUGCACAAUGGGCGCAAGCCUGAUGCAGCGACGCCGCGUGAGGGAUGGAGGCCUUCGGGUUGUGAACCUCUUUCGCCAGUGAAGCAGGCCUGCCUCGUUUGUGGGUGGGUUGACGGUAGCUGGAUAAGAAGCGCCGGCUAACUACGUG